GUCCCUUUCGAUUAGUGGUUAGAUCAUCACGUUGUGGUCUCACCUGACCGUGGGAAAUCCGUGAAGACGCAGGCUCGACUCCUGCAUGGGACA
RNAcentral lists this transfer RNA (93 nucleotides) under Phanerochaete carnosa HHB-10118-sp. RNAcentral's name for it is "tRNA-His". It matches the Rfam family "tRNA". From Rfam's summary of the family: Transfer RNA (tRNA) molecules are approximately 80 nucleotides in length. Their secondary structure includes four short double-helical elements and three loops (D, anti-codon, and T loops). Lineage: Eukaryota; Fungi; Basidiomycota; Agaricomycetes; Polyporales; Phanerochaetaceae. The record is from RNAcentral.